RNAcentral lists this unclassified non-coding RNA (379 nucleotides) under soil metagenome. Its description in RNAcentral is "partial contains 5.8S ribosomal RNA, internal transcribed spacer 2, and large subunit ribosomal RNA". The stretch from base 1 to 120 matches the Rfam family "5.8S ribosomal RNA", at positions 35 to 154 of the family's 154-position model. The record is from RNAcentral.
GAUGAAGAACGCAGCGAAAUGCGAUAAGUAAUGUGAAUUGCAGAAUUCAGUGAAUCAUCGAAUCUUUGAACGCACAUUGCGCCCGCCAGUAUUCUGGCGGGCAUGCCUGUUCGAGCGUCAUUUCAACCCUCAAGCCCCAGCGGCCUGGUGUUGGGGACCGGCGACCUCGCCCGAGCCCGCCCUCCGGGGCGCGUGCCCGGUGCGUCCGCCGCCCCCGAAAUGAAUUGGCGGCCUCGUCGCGGCCUCCUCUGCGUAGUAGCAUAACCUCGCAAGCGGGAGCGCGACGCGGCCACUGCCGUAAAACGCCCAACUUUUUUAGAGUUGACCUCGGAUCAGGUAGGAAUACCCGCUGAACUUAAGCAUAUCAAUAAGCGGAGGA